UUGCCUUAGUAACGGCGAGUGAAGCGGCAACAGCUCAAAUUUGAAAUCUGGCUUCGGCCCGAGUUGUAAUUUGCAGAGGAUGUUUAUGGUGCGGUACCUUCCGAGUUCCCUGGAACGGGACGCCACAGAGGGUGAGAGCCCCGUCUGGUUGGAUACCAAACCUGUGUUAAACUCCUUCAACGAGUCGAGUAGUUUGGGAAUGCUGCUCUAAAUGGGAGGUAAAUCUCUUCUAAAGCUAAAUACCGGCCAGAGACCGAUAGCGCACAAGUAGAGUGAUCGAAAGAUGAAAAGCACCUUGAAAAGGGGGUUAAACAGUACGUGAAAUUGUUGAAAGGGAAGCGUUUAUGACCAGACUUGUGCCNUGUGGCUCAUCCGAGGUUCUCCCCGGUGCACUCCACACGGUUCAGGCCAACAUCGGUUUUCGCUGGGGGAUAAGAACAGUAGGAACGUACCUCCCCUCGGGGAGUGUUAUAGCCUAUUGUACGAUACCCUGGCGGGGACCGAGGACCGCNCUUCNGCUAGGAUGNUGGCGNAAUGGUCAUUANCNACCC
RNAcentral lists this ribosomal RNA (551 nucleotides) under Gnomonia sp. 7Aj71. RNAcentral's name for it is "eukaryotic LSU rRNA". It matches the Rfam family "Eukaryotic large subunit ribosomal RNA", at positions 75 to 650 of the family's 3401-position model. Lineage: Eukaryota; Fungi; Ascomycota; Sordariomycetes; Diaporthales; Gnomoniaceae. The record is from RNAcentral.